RNAcentral lists this ribosomal RNA (253 nucleotides) under uncultured bacterium. RNAcentral describes it as "partial 16S ribosomal RNA". It matches the Rfam family "Bacterial small subunit ribosomal RNA", at positions 524 to 776 of the family's 1533-position model. The record is from RNAcentral.
UACGUAGGCAGCAAGCGUUGUUCGGAAUUACUGGGCGUAAAGAGUGUGUAGGCGGUGCUCUAAGUUCGGUGUGAAAUCUCCCGGCUUAACUGGGAGGGUGCGCCGGAAACUGGAGUGCUUGAGCGCGGGAGAGGAAAGCGGAAUUCCUGGUGUAGCGGUGAAAUGCGUAGAUAUCAGGAGGAACACCUGUGGUGUAGACGGCUUUCUGGACCUUAGCUGACGCUGAGACACGAAAGCGUGGGUAGCAAACAGG